RNAcentral lists this non-coding RNA (29 nucleotides) under Homo sapiens (human). The record is from RNAcentral. Lineage: Eukaryota; Metazoa; Chordata; Mammalia; Primates; Hominidae.
UUCCACCAGAGGUACCGCCAGUUCACCCA